AUUGAACGCUGGCGGAAUGCUUUACACAUGCAAGUCGAACGGUAGAGGGGGCAACCCCUCGAGAGUGGCGAACGGGUGAGUAAUAUAUCGGAACGUGCCCAGUCGUGGGGGAUAACGUAGCGAAAGUUACGCUAAUACCGCAUACGAUCUAAGGAUGAAAGCGGGGGAUCGCAAGACCUCGCGCGAUUGGAGCGGCCGAUAUCAGAUUAGGUAGUUGGUGGGGUAAAGGCUCACCAAGCCAACGAUCUGUAGCUGGUCUGAGAGGACGACCAGCCACACUGGAACUGAGACACGGUCCAGACUUCUACGGGAGGCAGCAGUGGGGAAUUUUGGACAAUGGACGCAAGUCUGAUCCAGCCAUUCCGCGUGCAGGAUGAAGGCCCUCGGGUUGUAAACUGCUUUUGUACGGAACGAAAAGGUCUCUCUUAAUACGGGGGACUCAUGACGGUACCGUAAGAAUAAGCACCGGCUAACUACGUGCCAGCCGCCGCGGUAA
Molecule: ribosomal RNA, 496 nt
Filed under: uncultured bacterium
Lineage: Bacteria
Description: partial 16S ribosomal RNA
Rfam family: Bacterial small subunit ribosomal RNA
Source: RNAcentral